AAACACGGGGGCAGCCGGCGCUUCCCGGCCGGUGUCGCUCCGCGGCGGGCCAUGGCCAACGUCUCUAAGAAGGUGUCGUGGUCCGGCCGGGACCGGGACGACGAGGAGGCGGCGCCGCUGCUGCGGAGGACGGCGCGGCCCGGCGGGGGGACGCCGCUGCUGAACGGGGCUGGGCCCGGGGCUGCGCGCCAGUCACCACGUUCUGCGCUUUUCCGAAUCGGACAUAUGAGCAACGUGGAGCUGGAUGAUGAACUUUUGGACCCGGAUAUGGACCCUCCACAUCCCUUCCCCAAGGAGAUCCCACACAACGAGAAGCUCCUGUCCCUCAAGUAUGAGAGCUUGGACUAUGACAACAGUGAGAACCAGCUGUUCCUGGAGGAGGAGCGGCGGAUCAACCACACGGCCUUCCGGACGGUGGAGAUCAAGCGCUGGGUCAUCUGCGCCCUCAUCGGGAUCCUCACGGGCCUCGUGGCCUGCUUCAUUGACAUUGUGGUGGAAAACCUGGCUGGCCUCAAGUACAGGGUCAUCAAGGGCAGUAUCCUUCCUGGUACGGCCGGUGCAGCUUGGGAGGGGGGCGUGAC
Molecule: small RNA, 581 nt
Filed under: Pongo abelii (Sumatran orangutan)
Lineage: Eukaryota; Metazoa; Chordata; Mammalia; Primates; Hominidae
Description: retained intron
Source: RNAcentral